This 24-nucleotide microRNA is filed under the name Glycine max (soybean). Its description in RNAcentral is "gma-miR9746e". Lineage: Eukaryota; Viridiplantae; Streptophyta; Magnoliopsida; Fabales; Fabaceae. The record is from miRBase by way of RNAcentral.
AAAGUGUUUGAAUCUCAAUUAGAU